GUUUCACAUGCGAUUUAUUUGUGAUUGGCCAACAUUUACAUAUAGUUUGCAUAUUGUUAUUUGACGUUAUUUGUAUUGAUUUCAGUCUCUAGAGGAAAUGCGGGAGAUACGGCGUCUUAGGCUUCAAUCACAUUUCAAUCAAUCAAAUGUAUUUAUAAAGCCCUUCUUACAUCAGCUGAUAUCUCAAAGUGCUGUACAGAAACCCAGCCUAAAACCCCAAACAACAAGCAAUGCAGGUGUAGAAGCACCUCUCUCUGUCUGCAGACAGGAGGUGAAUUGUUGUCGUUUUGAGGUGUGGGAGAGCAGGCGGAGGAAGGCAAAGCAUUUCACCAGAAUGAUGCAAUCUGCGUAUUAUGUAAGGAAUAAACGGAGACGUUUUGUACAUUACCUUGGAAAUAAUGGACAACGCAGCGGGACAAGGUCAUGCACAGAAAGGAGGCGUUUAUCCCCUUUAUACCACAGUUUCCAAAGAGAACAAUACUAAAGCACACAUUUAUCGGCAGAAAUCCUGCUUGCUUACUGGCGUCUUAGAAAAAUUCGUUAGCCUGCGCACAUUACUUUUCCUGACAUCAUCACAUUUAUACAUUGUACUUUUCGAUUUACUUGAUAUAGUGGGAUGGCUAACAUUCGAUGUCGGCGGAUGCGUUGUCUUCGAGCCAAAAUAAGAAAUGCAAUCAUAAUUGACUAGCGCUUAUAAGGCGCACACACAACAAUUCCAUGACGACUAAAAGCAAGAGCGUGGGAUGAGUGUUUGGGCUCAAUCGAUCGCUAGUUUCACACAUAUAUUUUUUUAUAGAUAUUUUUUCCACCUUUUAUUUAACCAGAUAGGUGAGAACAUGUUCUCAUUUACAACUGCGACCUGGCCAAGAUAAAGCAAAGCAGUGCGACAGAAACAACAACACAGAGUUAGUUACACAUGGAAUAAACAAGCGUGCUGACACAAUAUAUAACAUUUACAAAAAGUCUAUAUACAGUGUGUGCAAAUGGCGUGAGGAGGUAAGGCAAUAAAUAGGCCAUAGUAGCGAAGUAAUUACAAUUUAGCAAAAUUAAAACUGGAGUGAUAGAUGGGCAGAUGAUGAUGUGCAAGUAGUGAUACGGGUGUGCAAAAGAGCAGAAAAGUAUAUAAAAACAAUAUGGGGAUGAUGUAGGUAGAUUAGAUGGGCUAUGUACAGCUGCAGCGAUCGGUUAGCUGCUCAGAUAGCUGAUGUUUAAAGUUAAUGAGGGACAUAUAAGUCUCCAACUUCAACCAUUUUUGCAAUUUGUUCCAGUCACACAUGUCCCCUCUCCUCACCUCUCACCGGCCUUCUUUCCUCUCCACUCACCUCCUUCAUCACCAAACUUUCCUUCUUAUCACCCCUCACCCUUAACAUCCUCAAUAUUUUAUUUUUUUCACCCCUCACCUUGUUAUCACCUUCUUCUUCUCCCUCAUCUCCAUCAUCCGAUCCAGAGACAUGAGUUUUUUUUUAAGAGCAUUUGUUUAUAAACACAAUGUAGUAUUUAAAACCUCAAUGUCAGAGUGUUUUUCCUUAGGAUCAAUCCUUAUUCGAUUUGUCAUACAUUUUGAAUGAGCUUUCUCAACAAAAAAAAUUCUCAAAAAACUUUAAUGCAUGGGGCUAAGAUAGACGUUGUCUUUGUGGACUCUGAGUCUAAGGUGGAGGGGGCAGUUGUCCAAUGGGGUCCCUCCAGGGAGUAUUACAUCUCCUCGUAAGGGACCCUCUUUGAGGGUCCGGAAGGAGCUAAACGUAUGCCGCUUGAUGUCCAUGCAUCACAUGAGGGCCUGUAUGGAACCAUUGGGAAAAUGAUCAGUGUGUAUGUGUGGUCCUUGGAGGGGUUGGGCCACACUUCUUCUCUGAGCGACUAUUCGCAGCAGUGUGUGGGACGCCUGCUCCUCCACUCAGUCUGGAGGUGAACCACACUACUCUGAAAGCAUAUUGGAAAAUAUCAAAAAAAGCAGAGGACCUUUCCGAGGUGAAGAACAAAUUGGAGGAAUUGGUAGACUGGCUGAGCCUAUUGGGGCUGAAAAGGAUUACUGUCAAGACAAUGGAGGACAGGGAUGGUGUGAUUGAAUUGGUGGCUCAACAAUUUGUCCGAGGGAGCCUGCAGGUGGCCUUGGAGCAGUUCAUACAUGGUCUCAACUCUCUUGGGCUGCUGGAGGUAUUGGGGAACGACCCGGACAGCUUCUGAGUACUCUUUGUUGACCCCAUAAAGCCUCUCACUGCCAAAGACCUGAUGGACCUGUUUAAAGUAACCUAUUCCCUACCUGGCGGCAAAUGGCGGUGGUUGGAGAAUGACACCAUCUGCCACUGGUUCAACUGGCUGGCUGAGGUGCAAGAAUGUCCUCCUCUAACAGUGAUGAUGGUGUUGGAGUUUACUACUGGGGCAACGGGGGUGCCACCCCUGGGGUUUGAGGUCACCCCGACAAUCGAAUUCCUCCACACAGCGCGAGGGCGUCUCGCUGGGCAGCAGAAGAAAAAGUACCCAGAGGCAAACAUGUGUGCUGUCACACUAAGGCUCCCUCUUCAUAGCACCUACAAUGCCUUUCGGGAAUUCAUGACCUCCGGUAUUGUGAAUUCCCCGCAUUUCGAUGUUGCAUAAAAACAUUUUUAUGAUACCGAAUGUAUAGAAUUGUAUCCAGUAGCUCUACACUAACAAUUAAGUGUUUCAAAAUGUAACUGCACAUCAACAUUUUAAGCAUUUAUCUACUGAUAGGUUUGGAUUUCUGAGCUUUAACUGGGAUUAAUCAUUAGUUAUAAGAUUAGUCAAUCGUUAUAGGAUUAGGCUUCCUGCUUUUCUCAGGUUUUUGCCUGGCAUAUGAGUUCUGUUAUACUCACAGACAUCAUUCAAACAGUUUUAGAAACUUCAGAGUGUUUUCUACCCAGAUAUACUAAUAAUAUGCAUAUAUUAGCAACUGGGCCUGAGUAGCAGAGUUUACUCUGGGCACCUUAUUCAUCCAAGCUACUCAAUACUGCCCCCAGCCAUAACAGGUUAUAGGAUUAAUCAUUAGUUAUAGGAUUGGGCUUCCUGCCUAGCAAUAACAUGCUAUGUUUAGCAAUAAGGAGGAGACUCCACCCAAAGUGGGGUAUGUAUACUACCACAGGUGAAACCAUGUCUUGGUCUGUUCAGCUGUUCGAUCCUUUGGGAUGAAUAAACUUGGUUUA
This is a long non-coding RNA of Oncorhynchus masou masou (cherry salmon), 3158 nucleotides long. RefSeq lists it as uncharacterized. NCBI's taxonomy places the organism in Eukaryota, Metazoa, Chordata, Actinopteri, Salmoniformes, Salmonidae. The record is from RefSeq and is a predicted model, not a curated record. The transcript is spliced from 5 exons.